CAUCUCUACCCCUUUCUCUCUCUCUCUCUCUUCCAGAUGAUGGGCUUCAACAUCCUCAAAAGCUCACCUGUUUCUGCAACCAAAGCAGUUCUCAUCACCCCCACAGCCAAACCCACUUUCUCCAAGGUUCUUUCUCUGCUUCAUUCUGUUCCUAACUCCUGCAAAACCCAUUUCAGAUUUCCUUCUUCCAAACCCGCAGUCUAUUCCAUUUCUCUUGCUGGGUUCGGUGGCUCUUUCUACCGGAGAAAGCGUAAUUUUCGUGGUGGAUUAAUCGCCAUGGCUGCUCCUGGGUCCGUCCAGAAGUCAGAGGAGGAGUGGCGUGCGAUUUUAUCGCCAGAUCAGUUUCGGAUUUUGAGGCAGAAAGGCACAGAGUAUCCAGGCACAGGAUUAUAUGACAAGUUUUUUGAAGAGGGUGUCUACAACUGUGCAGGAUGUGGGACUCCUCUCUAUAAAUCUGUAACCAAAUUUAACUCUGGUUGUGGUUGGCCAGCUUUCUAUGAAGGUUUUCCGGGAGCUAUAGCUUGCAAUCCGGAUCCAGAUGGCAUGAGAACUGAAAUUACAUGUGCAGCUUGUGGUGGACAUCUGGGGCAUGUUUUCAAAGGUGAAGGAUUUCCAACACCCACAGAUGAACGCCAUUGUGUCAAUAGUAUAUCACUCAAGUUUGUUCCUGCAAAUUCUUCCCUGUGAAAGUCUAUCAUAGUGGUUAUCUUUGAUGGAAACUAUCUGAUUCUGUAUAAAACGUGGAAAUAGUAUCAUGUUUACACAAAUAAAACCUGAUGCUUCACUUGGUGCCGAGUUGCAGUUUCUUUCAUAUGUGCAAGAAACUUGCUUAGAUAUGUAAGAUGAUAGUUAUGUAAUAAAGAGAUGUUAUUAUGCAAGCGUGCUUGUUGGCAUGAAAGUAAUAUGUUACUUUUAAAAGUAACAUAUUAUGGGUGCUUUCAAUGGAGAAAAGUUUUCCGUAGAGAAAAGUAACACAUUUCUCUCUUUUUUUUUUUUAGUGUAAAAAGAAAA
RNAcentral lists this unclassified non-coding RNA (1011 nucleotides) under Hevea brasiliensis (rubber tree). Lineage: Eukaryota; Viridiplantae; Streptophyta; Magnoliopsida; Malpighiales; Euphorbiaceae. The record is from RNAcentral.